This 695-nucleotide long non-coding RNA is filed under the name Panicum hallii. Its description in RNAcentral is "long non-coding RNA (PHAL_LNC000512)". Lineage: Eukaryota; Viridiplantae; Streptophyta; Magnoliopsida; Poales; Poaceae. The record is from RNAcentral.
ACACAGCUGAAGCAAUCAGAGGAUUCAGUACAAAAUCUUGCGAAAGAGGUGGCACAGCUGAAAGAUGAACUUUCAGUUCAGCUGGAAAACUAUUCCACCUUGGACAAGCAAUUCGAAGAAGUCAGGAGCAGUAUGCAUGCUGAAAUUGCAGAACUACAUGCAGAGAAGGACGCAUCUCUAUUGGAGUUACAGACAUCUCAGGCUUCUGUCAGGAACCUUGAGGUUGCGCUUCAAACGCAAAAUGAGAACAUUUCAACUCUACAGCAAGCUAAUGAUGAGUUGCAGAAGAACAUUCGUACUUUGUCCGAGCAAACAGAACUAGCCAAGGCUGAGCUGCAGCAGGAGGUCAAGGCUACACAAGAAGAGAAGGAUGCAGUACUGACACAGCUGAAGCAAUCAGAGGAUUCAGUACAAAAUCUUGCGAAAGCGGUGGCACGGCUGAAAGAUGAACUUUCAGUUCAGCUGGAAAACUACUCCACCUUGGACAAGCAGUUGGAAGAAGUCAGGAGCAGUAUGCAUGCUGAAAUUGCAGAACUACGUGCAGAGAAGGACACAUCUCUAUUGGAGUUGCAGAUAUCUCAGGCUUCUGUCAGGAACCUUGAGAUUGCGCUUCAAACGCAAAAUGAGAACAUUUCAACUCUACAGCAAGCUAAUGAUGAGUUGCAGAAGAACAUUUGUACUUUUUCCGAGCAAAC